CCCACUAUGUAUGGCCUGGGAGGUCGACCUUGUGGCUGACUGGCUUAGAAUCCUUCCUAUUUUCAAGCAAUUUUCUACCAUCUCAUCGAUCUUAAUUGCUUCCACAAAAGGUUUGCCCUUUGCUGACAUCAUAUUUUGUAAAUAGUCCACCUCCUGUGCCUGGAGAAAACAAUGACCAUAUCUAUCUCAUCCAUGAGCGAUUUUACUCUUGACGCUUAUUCGCGCCACUUGAUAGCAUAUUCUCUAAAACUUUCCAAGGGUUUCUUUUUCAGGUUGGCCAAAGAGUUCCUGUCCAGGGCAAUGCCAAUGUUAUACUGGAACUGUCUUACAAAAUCCCGGGCAAGAUCAUCCCAAAUAUGCCAUCGAGUGAUAUCCUGGUCCAUGUACCACUCAGAAGAGAUGCCUACCAAGCUUUCCCCGAAGUAUGCCAUCAAUAGUUCUUCUUUUCCACCUGCCACGACAUGACAGGUACUUUUUUCAAUUGAGCAAGGGGGUCUCCAUGACCAUCGUACUUUUCAAACUUCAGCGUUUUGAAUCCUAGGGGAAGGUUUACAUGCGG
This 559-nucleotide long non-coding RNA is filed under the name Nicotiana benthamiana. RNAcentral describes it as "long non-coding RNA (NBEN_LNC022763)". Lineage: Eukaryota; Viridiplantae; Streptophyta; Magnoliopsida; Solanales; Solanaceae. The record is from RNAcentral.